UUGGAGGGCAAGUCUGGUGCCAGCAGCCGCGGUAAUUCCAGCUCCAAUAGCGUAUAUUAAAGUUGUUGCAGUUAAAAAGCUCGUAGUUGAAUUUCGGGAUCAGAGUGUCGGUCGUGCCUCGGUACGUACUGGUAUUAUUGGUUCCUACCUUCUGAAGAACCGCGAUGUCAUUAAUUUGGUGUCGUGGGGAAUCAGGACUGUUACUUUGAAAAAAUUAGAGUGUUUAAAGCAGGCUUACGCUUGAAUACAUUAGCAUGGAACAAUGAAAUAGGACGUUUGAUUCUAUUUUGUUGGUUUCUAGGAUUGACGUAAUGAUUAAUAGGGAUAGUUGGGGGCAUUAGUAUUCAAUUGUCAGAGGUGAAAUUCUUGGAUUUAUUGAAGACUAACUACUGCGAAAGCAUUUGCCAAGGAUGUUUUCAUUAAUCAAGAACGAAAGUUGGGGGAUCGAAGACGAUCAGAUACCGUCGUAGUCUUAACCAUAAACUAUGCCGACUAGGGAUCGGAUGAUGUUAAUUUUUUAAUGACUCAUUCGGCGCCUUACGGGAAAC
RNAcentral lists this ribosomal RNA (548 nucleotides) under uncultured Glomeromycotina. RNAcentral describes it as "SSU rRNA". It matches the Rfam family "Eukaryotic small subunit ribosomal RNA", at positions 548 to 1098 of the family's 1831-position model. The record is from RNAcentral. Lineage: Eukaryota; Fungi; Glomeromycota.